Long non-coding RNA from Melospiza melodia melodia, 309 nucleotides. RefSeq lists it as uncharacterized. The transcript is spliced from 4 exons. Lineage: Eukaryota; Metazoa; Chordata; Aves; Passeriformes; Passerellidae. The record is from RefSeq and is a predicted model, not a curated record.
GAUGCAUUCCAGGUGUGGCAGAGGGUCAGGGUUAGGAGGUGCCGGGCCACCUUAGGAGCGCGCUGUCUGAGAGACACCAGCCCGGUGCCAGCAGGACCUUCCCAGGUGACGAGAUUGAGAUGGAUUAAAUCUGUGCCAGAGGGCCCCGUCCUGGGUGAGGGGAUUGCCCCUGAGCAGGAAGUCAAUCUGGAUGCCAGCAGCCAAGGUGAGCAGCGGAGAGAAGUGGUUGUUAUUGCUCAGCUCUCAAGCACAACCAUUUUUCAGCAGAUUCAUCUCUCUCGCAAGAGAGAUCUGCCCAGUGUCAAGGAU